Molecule: ribosomal RNA, 380 nt
Filed under: uncultured bacterium
Lineage: Bacteria
Description: bacterial SSU rRNA
Rfam family: Bacterial small subunit ribosomal RNA
Source: RNAcentral
CCGAAAGGAGCGCUAAUACCGCAUAAGACCACGGAGUCUCCGGACGCUGUGGGAAAAGGUGGCCUCUUCUUGAAAGCUACCACCGAAGGAUGAGCCUGCGUCCCAUCAGCUAGUUGGUAAGGUAAUGGCUUACCAAGGCGAAGACGGGUAGCUGGUUUGAGAGAAUGAUCAGCCACACUGGCACUGGAACACGGGCCAGACUCCUACGGGAGGCAGCAGUGAGGAAUAUUGGGCAAUGGGCGAAAGCCUGACCCAGCCACGCCGCGUGAGUGAUGAAGGCCCUCGGGUCGUAAAGCUCUGUGGAGAGGGACGAAAACCCUGGUUUCAAAUAGGCUCCAGGCUUGACGGUACCUCUUUAGCAAGCACCGGCCAACUCUGUG